CUUUACAUAAUCAUGGCGCCCAUCAGCAUGCUGGAAACUACAACCUGAGGGGAUCACUGUGGUCAAGGGACGAGACAACAAGCGGUAAUAGCUUGAAAGGAAGGCAUAAUUGGUUAUAAAGAAAACAAAGCAAAAGAAAGAGGGAGAUGAAGAGUGGCAGACAGCAGUAGAGAGAGAGCUGAACUAAGGGAUGGGAGAUAUGUCUGGAUGAGUGUGUUAGAACCGAGGCCUGGGGCCAUUCUGAGAGCGAGAACCAUAACCUGCCUAAGGGAAGAGGGACUAGCCUCUGCUAACACAGAAUGAGCUCUGGGGCUUGGGUUUGUGCUGUGGUUGAGCUGGUAAACCCAUGAGGUGAGCAGAUCCUAACCCCUGACAUGCACGAGAGACGCUUGUUUAUCUACCAUCUGUGAGCUUUAAGAGAGCGUUGUUUGAGAAACACGCUGGAUUGUGACCUUAAGCAGAAGAAACAAAGUCAUACAGGCUUGGAACCACAUGAGGUCUUGUAAAAUCAUUUUAACAAACAAAAGCCAGUUCCUGUAUGAUGUCAUCCUACAGGAAGUGACAUCAUUUUGGAGGGAAAUCGACAGCAGCGCAAAUAUCGGAACUUCUCUCUGCCAUUCAUAGGCAAAACAGAUAGUCCGAUAGGCCAAUGGUUGAGCCAAGUCGGGCUAGUUGGGACAGACUCUGCAUUAACCUGGGAUAAAUCAAAGUAUUUAACAGCAAAAAAUGACACAUUUCAGCUUUAAAUGAAGCAGAACUGAAAGAGAGGACAGUGACAGCAUACACCUGAUUCACCUGCUCUGUCACAUGGCCUGUCAUCCCUCGCUCCGUGUUAAAAGCGCUCUGAGAGGCAGCUAAUGCUGCUCAACAACACGCCUGAGCUUUGAAGAGCUGCGCCAGAGACACACUCGCGGUCCGGGUUACAUCCUCGCUGCCACGAAGAAAGAAAAGUCAUAUAGAUGGUUUGAAACAUCACAAGAGUGAGUAAAACAUAUAUAUUUACAUUUAGUAAAUAAAUGUAUAUAUACUGUAAUAACAAAAUCUUCAUUUUUGUGUGUUAGUUUCACUCUUAGAAGAAAAGGUUUUGUCAGGCACUUCAUAAUCUUUUAGGGUUUCCCAUCAUGGGAACAUUUUAUGGAUUUAGUUUUAAUUCAUUUUUUAUUGUGAUUUAAAUUUAUUGAAUUAAAUGGCUCAUAAACAUACUUUAUCACUAGAAAAAAAAUUAAAUAACCUUUUAAACAUAAAAGUAUUAUGUAAUCAUUUAAGGACAUUUUUCAUUGUAUGGAACCUUUUUUGUCCUAAAGCGUUCUUUUAAGUUGAGUUGAGAACCCUAGAGUUCUAUAUAGAACCCCAAUGAACCUUUUAUUCUAAGAGUGUUCCUUUAAAUGUGAUGACACAUGUUGCUUCAUUGCUCAUGACCUACACACAAGAAGAAGCCAAUUUCUUUCACAGUAAAACAUCUCCAUGUUAGGUUAACCAGCAGUGUCAUCAAAGGGAAGGUAACAUGUAAUUCAGCUUGUUUUAAAACCAUCUAACUGCAGCCUACAGGCAAUUCAUUUACUAUGAAGAAAUCAACAGCCAAGUUGACCCCAACCGAUCCUAGAAUCAAGUGUCUGUGUGUAGUUAUUAUUCUAUAGCCUUCAUGUAUCAUAUCUGAGAUUACAUAUGAGUUAAGAGUGUUAAUCAUACUGUAAAAAAAAAAAAAAAAAAAGGGUACGAUAUAUAUCUGAAGGAAUUUUCCCUAUUUAUUUAUUUUUUUCGCAGGUGUUUUACCUGUAUUUUGAAUUACGCAUUGAAUUUGUGUUGUGUUUUAGGGUUAAUGGAAAUUUCCAUAAAAUUACUGGAUAAUAUCCUGGCAGAAAAUUACCAGUAGGCCUACAUUUUCCUUUUUUAAAAAAUUAAAUCUUAAUCAACUCAGUUUAUUUAUUUUCUUCAUGUGUGUUCCCAGUCUUAUUGUGAACAGUUCAUCAAUGCAUGUUGUUCCAGUGUCUUUCAGUGCAGGAAGCUACUUUUCUUUUCAGCCGACGUCACAAUGAAAGAAGCUGUGUUUUAAAAGGGAAGUAUACAUUCAGAUCUGACUGCAUUCUGGUACGCACCCUCUUUUCAUCCUCCAGUAAGUUCCCAGUAGAUAAUAUCAAGUCCUUCCCUACCUCUUUUUCUCAUUUAGCAUUCAGUUUUUCUUGAAAAUAAGUAAAAUUGUUUGCAAAUGCUGAUUCAU
Molecule: long non-coding RNA, 2218 nt
Organism: Ctenopharyngodon idella (grass carp)
Lineage: Eukaryota; Metazoa; Chordata; Actinopteri; Cypriniformes; Xenocyprididae
Exons: 8
Source: RefSeq, a predicted model, not a curated record